Molecule: ribosomal RNA, 567 nt
Filed under: uncultured fungus
Lineage: Eukaryota; Fungi
Description: eukaryotic LSU rRNA
Rfam family: 5.8S ribosomal RNA (bases 184-337)
Source: RNAcentral
CUUGGUCAUUUAGAGGAAGUAACAGUCGUAACAAGGUUUCCGUGGGUGAACCUGCGGAAGGAUCAUUAACAAAUAUGUGAGCGCUCCAUUUGGAGAGCUACAUUUGCCCGCGAGGUGCUCUGGCGCUUCAAGGCACAUAUAUACGCGUGUUUGUGUGACUGUUUUGAUGUUUUAAAUUUAUACAACUUUUAACAAUGGAUCUCUUGGCUCUUGCAACGAUGAAGAACGCAGUAAAGUGCGAAAUGUAAUGCGAUUUGCAUGAAUCUGUGAGUCAUCAAGUCUUUGAACGCAACUUGCACUCUUGGCGUAAGUCAAGAGUAUACCUGUUUGAGAAUUGUAUCCUCUUCACGCAAGUGAAUGUGAUCCUUCAAGGCGCAAGCUUUAGGAUUUAAAUGAAGGAGAAGGGCGUUGGCCACUAGUUGCCAGCAUUGUGUGAUAGAGACCCCUGGGUCUACUCAUGAUGCUGGUGGCGCUGGCCAACAUCUAACCCUUCUAUAAACUUCUUGUCUUCAAUCUCAAAUCAGGUAAGGCUACCCGCUGAACUUAAGCAUAUCAAUAAGCGGAGGA